GACGAACGCUGGCGGCGUGCUUAGCACAUGCAAGUCGAACGGUAAGGCCCUUCGGGGUACACGAGUGGCGAACGGGUGAGUAACACGUGGGUGAUCUGCCCUGCACUUCGGGAUAAGCCUGGGAAACUGGGUCUAAUACCGGAUAGGACCACUGCCUGCAUGGGUGGUGGUGGAAAGCUUUUGCGGUGUGGGAUGGGCCCGCGGCCUAUCAGCUUGUUGGUGGGGUGAUGGCCUACCAAGGCGACGACGGGUAGCCGGCCUGAGAGGGUGACCGGCCAGCCUGGGGCUGGGAUGCGGCCAGGACUCCUACGGGAGGCAGCGGGGGGGAAUUUUGCACAAUGGGCGAAAGCCUGAUGCGGCGACGCCGCGGGAGGGAUGACGGCCUUCGGGUUGUAAACCUUUUUCAGCACCGACGAAGGGAAAGUGAGGGUGGGUGCAGAAGAAGGACGGGCCAACUAGGUGCCAGCAGCCGCCGCUG
This 478-nucleotide ribosomal RNA is filed under the name uncultured bacterium. Its description in RNAcentral is "partial 16S ribosomal RNA". It matches the Rfam family "Bacterial small subunit ribosomal RNA", at positions 28 to 523 of the family's 1533-position model. The record is from RNAcentral.